CUACGGGGCGCUGCAGUGAGGAAUAUUGGUCAAUGGGCGCGAGCCUGAACCAGCCAUCCCGCGUGCAGGAUGACGGCCCUAUGGGUUGUAAACUGCUUUUCUAUGCCAAGAAACCUGAUUACGUGUAAUCAGUUGCCGGUAGCAUAGGAAUAAGCAUCGGCUAACUCCGUGCCAGCAGCCGCGGUAAUACGGAGGAUGCAAGCGUUGUCCGGAUUCAUUGGGUUUAAAGGGUGCGCAGGUGGGCUUGUAAGUCAGUGGUGAAAUGCUGCCGCUUAACGGUAGAACUGCCAUUGAUACUGCGAGUCUUGAGUAUGGUUGAGGUAGGCGGAAUGUGUUGUGUAGCGGUGAAAUGCAUAGAUAUGACACAGAACGCCAAUUGCGAAGGCAGCUUACUAAGCCAUUACUGACGCUGAGGCACGAAAGCGUGGGGAGCGAACAGGAUUAGAUACCCUGGUAGUC
This 459-nucleotide ribosomal RNA is filed under the name uncultured bacterium. RNAcentral describes it as "partial 16S ribosomal RNA". It matches the Rfam family "Bacterial small subunit ribosomal RNA", at positions 339 to 795 of the family's 1533-position model. The record is from RNAcentral.